Molecule: ribosomal RNA, 421 nt
Filed under: uncultured bacterium
Lineage: Bacteria
Description: partial 16S ribosomal RNA
Rfam family: Bacterial small subunit ribosomal RNA
Source: RNAcentral
AAUAUUGGACAAUGGGUGCAACCCUGUUCCAGCCAUGCCGCGUGUUGGAAGAAUGUCUUCGGAUUGUAAAGCAUUUUAAGUUGGGAGGAAGGGCUUUAGGUUAAUACCCUCAAGUUUUGACGUUACCAACAGAUUAAGCACCGGCAAACUCUGUGCUAGACGCCGCGGUAAUACAGAUGGUGCAAGCGUUAAUCGGAAUUACUGGGCGUAAAGCGCGCGUAGGUGGUUCAGUAAGAUGGGUGUGAAAUCCCCGGGCUUAACCUGGGAACUGCUUUCAUAACUGCUGAGCUAGAGUACGGUAGAGGGUAGUGGAAUUUCCUGUGUAGCGGUGAAAUGCGUAGAUAUAGGAAGGAACACCAGUGGCGAAGGCGACUACCUGGACUGAUACUGACACUGAGGUGCGAAAGCGUGGGGAGCAAAC